This 401-nucleotide ribosomal RNA is filed under the name uncultured bacterium. RNAcentral describes it as "bacterial SSU rRNA". It matches the Rfam family "Bacterial small subunit ribosomal RNA", at positions 361 to 775 of the family's 1533-position model. The record is from RNAcentral.
AUAUUGCACAAUGGGGGAAACCCUGAUGCAGCAACGCCGCGUGAAGGAUGAAGGUUUUCGGAUCGUAAACUUCUAUCAAUAGGGACGAAACAAAUGACGGUACCUAAAUAAGAAGCCCCGGCUAACUACGUUCCAGCAGCCGCGGUAAUACGUAGGGGGCAAGCGUUAUCCGGAAUUACUGGGUGUAAAGGGAGCGUAGGCGGCAUGGUAAGCCAGAUGUGAAAGCCCGAGGCUUAACUUCGAGGAUUGCAUUUGGAACUAUCAAGCUAGAGUACAGGAGAGGAAAGCGGAAUUCCUAGUGUAGCGGUGAAAUGCGUAGAUAUUAGGAAGAACACCAGUGGCGAAGGCGGCUUUCUGGACUGAAACUGACGCUGAGGCUCGAAAGCGUGGGGAGCGAACAG